RNAcentral lists this ribosomal RNA (231 nucleotides) under Salmonella enterica subsp. enterica serovar Cerro. RNAcentral describes it as "partial 23S ribosomal RNA". It matches the Rfam family "Bacterial large subunit ribosomal RNA", at positions 12 to 242 of the family's 2925-position model. Lineage: Bacteria; Pseudomonadati; Pseudomonadota; Gammaproteobacteria; Enterobacterales; Enterobacteriaceae. The record is from RNAcentral.
CUAAGCGUACACGGUGGAUGCCCUGGCAGUCAGAGGCGAUGAAGGGCGUGCUAAUCUGCGAUAAGCGCCGGUAAGGUGAUAUGAACCGUUAUAACCGGCGAUACCCGAAUGGGGAAACCCAGUGUGAUUCGUCACACUAUCAUUAACUGAAUCCAUAGGUUAAUGAGGCGACCCGCGGGAACUGAUUCAUCUAAAUACCCCGAGGAAAAGAAAUCAACCGAGAUUCCCCCA